GAAACGCGAUAGUUAAUGUGAAUUGCAGAAUUCAGUGAAUCAUCGAGUCUUUGAACGCACAUUGCGCCCAUAGGUAUUCCUUUGGGCAUGUCUGUUUGAGCGUCAUUACAACCCUCAGCUAACCGCUGGUUUUGAACCUGAACGGGUGACACCGCGCCGGUUUUAAAGUUGUAAGCUCUGCUGGCCGCUCUGCCCAACCAGAACAUAGUAAGCACUGCUUGUCCGGGUGAAGCUGAACGGUACGGCCUGAACAAAACCUACCCACUCUCAAGGUUUGACCUCAGAUCAGACAAGGAUACCCGCUGAACUUAAGC
RNAcentral lists this unclassified non-coding RNA (314 nucleotides) under plant metagenome. RNAcentral describes it as "partial contains 5.8S ribosomal RNA, internal transcribed spacer 2, and large subunit ribosomal RNA". The stretch from base 1 to 105 matches the Rfam family "5.8S ribosomal RNA", at positions 50 to 154 of the family's 154-position model. The record is from RNAcentral.